GACGAAGGAUGCAAGCGUUGUCCGGAUUCAUUGGGCUUAAAGGGCGCGUAGGUGGACUGAUAAGUCCGUGGUGAAAGCCGUUCGCUUAACGAACGAAUUGCCAUUGAUACUGUUGGUCUUGAGUACAGUUGCUGUGGGCGGAAUAUGACAUGUAGUGGUGAAAUACAUAGAGAUGUCAUAGAACACCGAUUGCGAAGGCAGCUCACAAAACUGUAACUGACACUGAGGCUCGAAAGUGCGGGGAUCAAACAGG
This 253-nucleotide ribosomal RNA is filed under the name uncultured bacterium. Its description in RNAcentral is "partial 16S ribosomal RNA". It matches the Rfam family "Bacterial small subunit ribosomal RNA", at positions 524 to 776 of the family's 1533-position model. The record is from RNAcentral.